RNAcentral lists this transfer RNA (77 nucleotides) under Candidatus Komeilibacteria bacterium RIFOXYC1_FULL_37_11. RNAcentral describes it as "tRNA-Ile". It matches the Rfam family "tRNA". From Rfam's summary of the family: Transfer RNA (tRNA) molecules are approximately 80 nucleotides in length. Their secondary structure includes four short double-helical elements and three loops (D, anti-codon, and T loops). The record is from RNAcentral. RNAcentral also lists the same sequence under 3 other names. Lineage: Bacteria; Candidatus Komeiliibacteriota.
GGGCAUGUAGCUCAGUUGGUUAGAGCACCACACUGAUAAUGUGGGGGUCGGAGAUUCGAGUUCUCCCAUGCCCACCA